Molecule: non-coding RNA, 320 nt
Organism: Pelobates cultripes (western spadefoot toad)
Lineage: Eukaryota; Metazoa; Chordata; Amphibia; Anura; Pelobatidae
Source: the annotation of a GenBank genome assembly
UGUACUUAUUUAAUCCCAUCUCAUUUAACACCAUCUAUAAAUAGCACAGACUACAUUCCACCUUUAGUUAUAAUCAACCACAUACACAGUUUUAACCGAACCCCACACUUAUUCACAUCUAUUCAAACUAUUCACUAAGAAGUAUAGUUGACUCAUAUAUAAUGCUUGAUGGAACCAGGGAUUGAUUUCUGGGAACUUAUAAUUUUACAUAGAAGGAUGUUGUUGUUACGCAUCUAGAAUUUCAAACAAUACAAUAUAAUUAUCUCCUUAGAAUACAGGCUGUUAUUAGGCUUUCAGUAAGUACUCUUACUAAACACAAG